Juglans regia (Persian walnut) is the source of this 2470-nucleotide RNA transcript. It is a transcript of the gene named ubiquinol oxidase 2, mitochondrial-like, with no coding region annotated. NCBI's taxonomy places the organism in Eukaryota, Viridiplantae, Streptophyta, Magnoliopsida, Fagales, Juglandaceae. The record is from RefSeq and is a predicted model, not a curated record. The transcript has 5 exons.
UGCAUGACCCCCUUAAAUCUCCCCCCUAAACCCCUUGUUGCCCACGUUCAUCGUGAACAAACAGCUGAAGACAGAAAGCUAUAGUCAAAGCCAAUAUUUCUUCUACUUUUUCCUGUAAAAACUUUCCAAAAAGCUUGGGGUUCGAUCGGCACAGAUGGUGGCGAUGAUGAUGCGUCAGGGUGGGACCCGGCUUUCCGGUUCCAUGAUGACCAUGUUGGGAGCACGCCUCUUCUCUCAUUCCGCUGCCGGUACUACUAGCACCGCCGGCCGUGGCUUCGCAUCGGGUGGAAACUCGUCGCUGGUCGGUUUCUUGCGCGGGAGUAUUCCGGCCAAUGAUGCUGGCGUGAAUUGGAUUGUGGGGGUGCGGAGCUGCAGCACGGUAGCGCAGCAGGAGGUGCAGAAUAGUGGUGCGAGUCAUGCUUCGAGUGCCGCUCAGGCAGCUGACAGUAAUAAGGAAGAGAAGGAGAUUGUGAGUUACUGGGGCGUGCCGCCGGUGAAGGUUGUGAACAAGGACGGCACCGUAUGGAAGUGGGACUGCUUUAGGCCAUGGGAGACUUACCAAGCGGACCUGUCGAUUGAUCUGAAGAAGCACCACGUGCCUUUAAACUUAUUGGACAAAUUGGCUUAUUGGAUGGUCAAAGCCCUCAGGAUGCCCGCUGACCUGUUCUUUCAGAGGCGAUAUGGAUGCCGGGCAAUGAUGCUAGAAACUGUGGCAGCUGUUCCCGGCAUGGUUGGAGGCAUGCUGCUGCAUUGCAAGUCACUGAGGCGAUUCGAGCAGAGUGGUGGUUGGAUCAAAGCACUGCUGGAAGAAGCCGAGAAUGAACGCAUGCACCUCAUGACAUUUAUGGAGGUAACCAAGCCUAGGUGGUACGAUCGUGCACUGGUGAUUUCUGUUCAAGCUGUCUUCUUCAAUGCUUACUUCUUAGGCUAUAUGAUAUCUCCCAAAUUUGCUCACCGAGUGGUCGGUUACCUGGAAGAGGAGGCAAUACACUCGUACACUGAGUUCCUCAACGAACUGGACAAAGGUAACAUCAAGAACAUGCCGGCUCCGGCCAUUGCCAUCGAUUACUGGCAGCUUCCUCCCGACGCCACCUUACGUGAUGUUGUUAUGGUGGUAAGAGCAGAUGAGGCACACCACCGCGAUGUCAAUCACUUCGCAUCCGACGUGCAUUUUCAUGGACGCCAGUUGAAGGAUGUUUCUGCUCCACUUGGAUAUCACUAAUUAUUCCUAUAAUUUUGGCUGCCUGGUGUACGUGAGAAAGUCACUCUCACAAGUUUUAAUCUCUUGAUUGAAUAAGUUUGUUUUGAAGAAGGCAGCAAACGGUGGAACCCACUACCCAAGAAAAACAGUUGCUGCCCUUGAGAGUAAUCCACCACCAAAUCUUACAGGUUGCCGGUUAGAAAACUUGGUGUCAACAGACAGAUGAAAGAUGGAGGUAUUAUUGCCCUUUUUUGCAAAUCCGGGGAAAGAAAAUUUCAAGAUCAGGAGGGAUGGAACUCGGAAGCACUGGGAUGAGCUGCGGAUAUGGACAUCAUUCACUUUAGUUGGACCAAAAAAGAGCUAUUUUGAUAGGAACAGCAGACUCGGCUUCCCUUUCUGUCAGCAAUGGCCACCGAAGCAUACAUAUUAGAAUAAUGUAGAAGCAUUCGGAUGCAAAACAAGAAGGUUAUAUGUGGUCGGACUAUAGAUUUAACUAACCUAGCCGCGCAGUCGAAGGAGGGAGCUCCCCCUGCCUCACAAAAAUACCAAAAAUAAAUAAAGCUCAAGCCACACCAGGCAUCCAUACUCAUCCAGUCAUCCUAUAACAUGUCAUAGCAUUUAAACUAUUUACAGAAGAAUAGUUCCUAUUCGGACCAAACGGGCUGGUCUUAGGGGAUAAACACCCUCCAAUCACAGCAAAACACCUAGACUAUUUCAUAAAAAGUAAAAUACACAUUUUUCCAUCUAAUUACACUUCUUGCCUUUCACUUUCCCUCAUAUUUCACUUUUCAGAUUUCACUCGUCGUGCACAUUUGCCUCUAAUACCCGUGUAGUGAACUUCUCCUCCAUCGCCGUGAGCCAUCACUUUCCUCCAUCGCCAUUCGUUUCAGAGCUGUUGCCGCCGCCUAGCUCAGAGCCAUAACUUUCCUCCAUGCCGCCCCCCCGGACAAUAAUUUGCUUCAUCACCAUGAGCCAUCCAAAAAGAGGAUGGGGCUGCAUGAUCUCUCAUGAGAUCCUAGGAAGCCUGUGAUUGGGAGAGUGGAAAGGAAACACAAAAACUGCAAGCUUCUCUCAUUGCUUACAUAGUUUGUUUUUUACAAGUAUCUCGUUGCUUACACAACUAUUUAGAAUUUUAGAAAACCUACCACCCCAUGGUACAUGAUAAUUUCUAAUCUAUCAUUGAUUCAAUUUGGUCAAAAUCAAGGAUAUAUUGUUCUUUUUUUUUUGCUUCGAAAACCCAUGUAUUCAGUUGACAAGAUAGUUGUGGAA